Molecule: ribosomal RNA, 253 nt
Filed under: uncultured bacterium
Lineage: Bacteria
Description: partial 16S ribosomal RNA
Rfam family: Bacterial small subunit ribosomal RNA
Source: RNAcentral
UACGAAGGGGGCUAGCGUUGCUCGGAAUCACUGGGCGUAAAGGGUGCGUAGGCGGGUCUUUAAGUCCGGGGGGAAAUCCUGGAGCUCAACUCCAGAACUGCCUUCGAUACUGGAGAGCUUGAGUCCGGGAGAGGUGAGUGGAACUGCGAGUGUAGAGGUGAAAUUCGUAGAUAUUCGCAAGAACACCAGUGGCGAAGGCGGCUCACUGGCCCGGUACUGACGCUGAGGUGCGAAAGCGUGGGGGGCAAACAGG